Molecule: ribosomal RNA, 497 nt
Filed under: uncultured bacterium
Lineage: Bacteria
Description: partial 16S ribosomal RNA
Rfam family: Bacterial small subunit ribosomal RNA
Source: RNAcentral
GAUGAACGCUGGCGGCGUGCCUAAUACAUGCAAGUCGAGCGAACAGAUGAGGAGCUUGCUCCUCUGACGUUAGCGGCGGACGGGUGAGUAACACGUGGAUAACCUACCUAUAAGACUGGGAUAACUUCGGGAAACCGGAGCUAAUACCGGAUAAUAUUUUGAACCGCAUGGUUCAAUAGUGAAAGACGGUUUUGCUGUCACUUAUAGAUGGAUCCGCGCUGCAUUAGCUAGUUGGUAAGGUAACGGCUUACCAAGGCAACGAUGCGUAGCCGACCUGAGAGGGUGAUCGGCCACACUGGAACUGAGACACGGUCCAGACUCCUACGGGAGGCAGCAGUAGGGAAUCUUCCGCAAUGGGCGAAAGCCUGACGGAGCAACGCCGCGUGAGUGAUGAAGGUCUUCGGAUCGUAAAACUCUGUUAUUAGGGAAGAACAAAUGUGUAAGUAACUGUGCACGUCUUGACGGUACCUAAUCAGAAAGCCACGGCUAACUACGUG